GAUGAAGAACGCAGCGAAAUGCGAUAAGUAAUGUGAAUUGCAGAAUUCAGUGAAUCAUCGAAUCUUUGAACGCACCUUGCGCUCCUUGGUAUUCCGAGGAGCAUGCCUGUUUGAGUGUCAUUAAUAUAUCAACCUCUUCAGCUUAUGCUUGUUGAGUGUUGGAUGGUGGGGGUUUGCUGGUGUCUUAUGAAGUCAGCUCCUCUGAAAUGCAUUAGCGGAACAAUUUGUUGACCGUUCAUUGGUGUGAUAAAAAUAUCUUCGCUAUUGACGUCAGUCAGUUCAGCUUCUAACAGUCCAUUGACUUGGACAAAUUUUUCAUUAAUGUGACCUCAAAUCAGGUAGGACUACCCGCUGAACUUAAGCAUAUCAAUAAGCGGAGGA
RNAcentral lists this unclassified non-coding RNA (381 nucleotides) under soil metagenome. RNAcentral describes it as "partial contains 5.8S ribosomal RNA, internal transcribed spacer 2, and large subunit ribosomal RNA". The stretch from base 1 to 120 matches the Rfam family "5.8S ribosomal RNA", at positions 35 to 154 of the family's 154-position model. The record is from RNAcentral.